GCCCCAUGCGAAAGAAAACACAGAAGAUCGGAACACUGAAGAACAGUCAGAACCAUAUGCGACACCUCAAACUCUACGAACAUCCGAAAAUCCAGAAAUCCACAGAAGGCGCAGACUGAACCGAACGACUACACGAAGGGAUUGCGCACGAAGAACAGACCACAAUUGGACGUCAGAACGCGGCACCACUCACCCCCAGAAGCAGGGCCCAUAACUGAUGUCCCACACCUUAUAACCCCCAACCACUUCUCUCCCCAGUGGUAUUGUUAAAACACGGUACCGGCCGUUAACCGGGCUGCAAUGCAGUACAUCAAGAAUUGAUUUAUGGUUGUAACAUUGUCUAGAAUCUGUAUCUAAUAAAGUCCCAUUGGUGCGCGUCAUAAAUUAGACUGACGGCAGCAGGCACUUUCCUUCGGGAGAGUCCUGCAAAUUCAGCAACUAGCCAAAUGCCUCGUCAUCUAAUUAGUGACGCGUAUGAAUGGAUCAACAAGAUUCCUUCUGUCCCUAUCUACUAUCUAGCGAAACCACAGCCAAG
This 535-nucleotide non-coding RNA is filed under the name Trichinella murrelli. Its description in RNAcentral is "Eukaryotic large subunit ribosomal RNA". It matches the Rfam family "Eukaryotic large subunit ribosomal RNA", at positions 2041 to 2375 of the family's 3401-position model. Lineage: Eukaryota; Metazoa; Nematoda; Enoplea; Trichinellida; Trichinellidae. The record is from Rfam by way of RNAcentral.